GGGUGAAACGCACAACAGUGGGUUACACAGGUAGCAUAUGAGGACACCCCCUAGUGGCCGAGAACUGCACAGUUGCGACAUCAUGGCAUUCUGAUUGGAUGAUUCUGACUACGUUUGGCUCUCGGCACGAGACGUGGUCGUCUUACGAGAUGGCUUCGAUCAUGUCCAGGCCCAUCUCAACGCAGCAGUGGGCGUGGUCAGCACGGGCCUCGGGAAGGCCCGACACGCAGUAAUAGCAGUCACCAAGGAUCUUGAUGCGGAGGCAGUGAUUCUCCUGAGGACACAUCAGAAACGUGCGCAUCAAUACAUGGGAGAUUUUGUGAAACAUCAUGUCCUCCUGCUUGGCGUUGAUGUCCGCCUUCAUCUCCAUGGCGACGUGGCGGGGGAGCACCGACAGCAGCAGACGCUCCUGCAGAGAAAGGGAUCCAUGUUGUUCUGCAUCCAGGACAGGCCGACGUGCAGGGCGGACAGCAGCAGUCCGGUGACCACUGCAGCUCGCAUGCGGACGGGUAGCAACGUGUAGACCACGUGGAUGAAGAAGACGG
Hippocampus zosterae (dwarf seahorse) is the source of this 545-nucleotide long non-coding RNA. RefSeq lists it as uncharacterized. The record is from RefSeq and is a predicted model, not a curated record. The transcript has 3 exons. NCBI's taxonomy places the organism in Eukaryota, Metazoa, Chordata, Actinopteri, Syngnathiformes, Syngnathidae.